AAAAACGAAGCAAACGUUUAGUCUAGGACAAAGGUUUGCCGCUGACUGUCAAAACGACAUCGCCGUCGUCUGACUGCCAGACGACGGCGAUGUUAAAUUCCUUGUGUCUCAGAAUCCAUCGUGUGAGGCGUCCUGGAGGGCCCUUUAAGCUUGCCAGCCAGCGCAAGACAUGGUGUCCGCUUACGACACCGAAGGACCUGCCGUAUAGGAGCUAAAUCUAAUCUUAACCCUGGACCUCACAGGAGCUAAAGGACUCUCUCAUGAGCGAACUAUCAGAGGGCCUCCAGACUGUGAUCGUCGGUGAGAGAUGAUGGAAAGAUCUACGCUGGGAGGAAACGGUGGCUCGAAAAGGAGGGCUGGGGCACCUUGUUUCGGGCCUCAAUAUAUUUCCUGUUUUGCCGCAUGGCAACCACUGUCUAGUGGACGCCAGAUCAACUCAGGGGCCGCAACGGGACAGGAACACUGUCAAAUAAGUCCCGGGCAAGGGCGGCGGUGGCGGCGCUGCUGCUGCUGCUGCUGUUGGUGGGGGCGGUGGCGGCGCGGGCGCGUCGUUUACUGUUCACCAUAGUCCAUUCGCCACCUUCCUCGUUCUGAAGAGAUACGGUAUCAGAUGCUGUGCCUGCGUGAACUACAUAUCGCAUGUGGCAAGCGCAGCGUCGCCUUCUUGAAGCAGCGGUGACACAGUUGUCUAUGUUAGGGGCAGGGUGGUCGCCAUACUGAGUCGUUUGGCCCGACAGUGAAGCUCCGAAGCAGCCCGGGACGCGACGCUGACCGUGAAAAUGACCGUUGCCUCAGGGCCCGGCUACGGGCGCCGUUCAAGGCACGCCUGCGGUGUCUGCGAGCGGUCCUUGAGCACGUCUGCACUCGAUGAGUGCGGGUACAGUUGCCAUGUAAAUCGGUAUUCGUGUUUUCAGAACCACCUACGUUCAAUGCUCUUACGUUGUUUGGCGCGCACACUUCUGCCUCAAAAAAUGACAUUUUUCGAAGAAUGCUAAAGUACGAUCACACAGCUCUAUUUUCUCUAGAUUCCUAAUUUUCGAGCAUUACGAAACAAGCCUUGUCCUUUGAGUUGUCAAGUGCAGUCGUUACUAAGAAUUUCCUCUCACUCAACAGAAGGAACAUUAAACACGGCGAGUAAAGCGUUAUUUAGUUCUCCAAACUUCCAACAAGAUUCAGAUUGCAAUGGGGCAACGUAGUCCAUGUGCUGCUCAGUUUACAAUGGGUUCAAGCCAGGACACGGUAGUGGGUGGCAGGUGGUCUUGCCGGGAUCUAACAUCACCGGUAACAAAAACAAAGCUUGUUUAGGUCUAGUUUUUUACAGCGUUACCAACUGCAGCGUGUUGGAUUUGGAUGACAAUUCCACCGCUUUCAACCAGUUGUCGGAUCUUUGGAGAACGAUCCCAGUUGCU
Long non-coding RNA from Dermacentor albipictus, 1409 nucleotides. RefSeq lists it as uncharacterized. NCBI's taxonomy places the organism in Eukaryota, Metazoa, Arthropoda, Arachnida, Ixodida, Ixodidae. The record is from RefSeq and is a predicted model, not a curated record.